GCUCAGGAUGAACGCUGGCGGCGUGCUUAACACAUGCAAGUCGAGCGAAGCGCUUAAGUUUGAUUCUUCGGAUGAAGACUUUUGUGACUGAGCGGCGGACGGGUGAGUAACGCGUGGGUAACCUGCCUCAUACAGGGGGAUAACAGUUAGAAAUGACUGCUAAUACCGCAUAAGACCACGGUACCGCAUGGUACAGUGGUAAAAACUCCGGUGGUAUGAGAUGGACCCGCGUCUGAUUAGGUAGUUGGUGGGGUAACGGCCUACCAAGCCGACGAUCAGUAGCCGACCUGAGAGGGUGACCGGCCACAUUGGGACUGAGACACGGCCCAGACUCCUACGGGAGGCAGCAGUA
RNAcentral lists this ribosomal RNA (352 nucleotides) under uncultured bacterium. RNAcentral's name for it is "bacterial SSU rRNA". It matches the Rfam family "Bacterial small subunit ribosomal RNA", at positions 22 to 356 of the family's 1533-position model. The record is from RNAcentral.